GGGCGCUUAGCUCAGUUGGUUAGAGCACUAUCUUCACACGGUAGGGGUCACUGGUUCGAGUCCAGUAGCGCCCA
Transfer RNA from Isosphaera pallida ATCC 43644, 74 nucleotides. It matches the Rfam family "tRNA". From Rfam's summary of the family: Transfer RNA (tRNA) molecules are approximately 80 nucleotides in length. Their secondary structure includes four short double-helical elements and three loops (D, anti-codon, and T loops). The record is from Rfam. NCBI's taxonomy places the organism in Bacteria, Pseudomonadati, Planctomycetota, Planctomycetia, Isosphaerales, Isosphaeraceae.